Molecule: ribosomal RNA, 418 nt
Filed under: uncultured bacterium
Lineage: Bacteria
Description: bacterial SSU rRNA
Rfam family: Bacterial small subunit ribosomal RNA
Source: RNAcentral
UGGGGAAUAUUGGGCAAUGGGCGAAAGCCUGACCCAGCAACGCCGCGUGAGGGAAGAAGGGUUUCGGCUCGUAAACCUCUGUCCUAUGGGACGAAGAAGAUGACGGUACCAUAGGAGGAAGCCCCGGCUAACUACGUGCCAGCAGCCGCGGUAAUACGUAGGGGGCGAGCGUUGUCCGGAAUGAUUGGGCGUAAAGGGCGCGUAGGCGGCCUAUUAAGUCUGGAGUGAAAGUCCUGCUUUCAAGGUGGGAAUUGCUUUGGAUACUGAUGGGCUGGAGUGCAGGAGAGGAAAGCGGAAUUACCGGUGUAGCGGUGAAAUGCGUAGAGAUAUGGAGGAACACCAGUGGCGAAGGCGGCUUCCUGGUCUGCAACUGACACUGAGGCGCGAAAGCGUGGGGAGCAAACAGGAUUAGAUACCC